Molecule: non-coding RNA, 2366 nt
Organism: Macaca mulatta (Rhesus monkey)
Lineage: Eukaryota; Metazoa; Chordata; Mammalia; Primates; Cercopithecidae
Source: RefSeq, a predicted model, not a curated record
CUCUGUGGGCUUGCUGUUUACUGACAUUUGAUAUGCUUCAACAUCUGUUGCCCUUCUCGAUUGAUGGGUGCUUCAUUUUAGCACUUCUCUGAUGCCAGGCUGGUACAAAGCUUUAGUACUGAGGUCCUAUGAGACACUCCUAGGUCAGUAACACAACUUUGUUUGCAAAGCUGGCCAAGGGAAAGAAUAUUCAUGGGAAAAGGUGAAGGGACAUGCUAUCUAUCUACCAAACUGGGUAUUCUUGGUAUCCCUGAGUUAUCAAGUGACAUCUCCAAAAAGCUAUAAACCCAGCCUAUCCUAGACCCAAAGUCAGGUUUCAAUGUCAUGAUCUAGGCUCUCAGCAAGGUGGUAUAUAAUGAAUUCUGCCUUCUUCUAUAAGAGUUCCAUGGAAUGAUUUCUAAGUUCCUUUUAAAAGAAAUAAGUAUUUUAGAAUUUGGUAUAAGGAAAAACGUGCUCUCUUUUAAAGAAUUGGUAUACUUCUUUGACUCCACAUGACUUCACAUAUUUCCCAGUUUUGCCUUGCUUGCGUGGAGUUCAGUCAAAAUAACCCCCUAGGGGAUUGCUUGAACAGGUGUUUGAGGCUGCUGUGAGCCAUGAUUAUGUCACUGCACUCCAGCCUGGGCAACAGAGUGAGACCUCAUUAAAAACAUAAUAAUAACUGCCUAGUCCAGGUCAGAGACCAUAGAUAAGCCAGAUCUGUCCCAUAGAUAUUUGGUGUGGCACUCACCAAUCUAGAGUUAAACAAUCUGAUUUUCAACAUCCUUUGGCAGUACUUUGAGUACAAAUAUUAGUAUUCAUACUUUUCUAGUACUUUUCUCCUACCUGAUACAGAAUCAAAUCACCUUGUCCUUUGCUGGUAUCGUCCCAUGUUUUUGUGUGUGUGUGUGUAUUUUCCUCUUUUUACAUUGUUUCUAACUUGUGAGUUUUAUUCCAGUAACCUGUUUAGUCACUUAUUGUACGCUUUCUUAAAUCCUUUAUGGAAGCAGAGUAUGAAUGACAAAUAAAUCGUUCUGUUCGCUAAGCAAAACUGCCAAGAUCAGUGCAACAGUUGCAUUCCUACUGCAUCCUAGGGCUAAUGCUCUCUGGUGAGUCACUUGUGCCUGCUCUACCUGCCCCACCUGUCAAAGGGUCACCAUAGCUGUAGGCUCUGCCCCACCAAUCCCUCAAACAGAAGGAAAGAACUUCUUCCUCAAUAGUGAGUGAGAGGUCUGGACAUCCUUGAGAAGCAUCUACCCUAUUUCUAGCAUGUGACAUGCAAAUGUAGCUAUAGGUGCCCUCCAAAGCACAGGGCUGUGGGGAAUAUGCAGAGGGCAGGGCUGGAGCCAGCCCACUUGAGUUUAAACCAUCGUUCAGCCACUAACCGUCUAGGUGAUCUUAGGUGAGCUUUUCAAUAGCUUGGUGCCUCAAUUUCUUGCUUAAUAGAGUGGCACAAUGAUACCACCUACCUCAUAGGGUUGUGGUGAAGAUCAAAUGAACACAGGGAAUGAUAAUAGUACUUUUCUGCUGAACAGGCAUUGUGUUAAAUGUGCUUUCAUUCACAGAAUCUUUGCAGAAACUCAAUGGGGUAAGUUAAUAUGGAACUGAGCUCAGAGAAAUUAAGUAGCUUGACCAGCCAGGUGUGUUCAUACAGCUAGCAAGUCGAGGAGAUGCCAUCACCGUGAGGUUCAGCAAGGUGACUUAGAGGGCUACUUCCUGCUGCUCCAUUUGAUUUCCUCUUACCCUGCCUGUGAUGGACUCAGCUCACUUACUCUUUCUACUCCUUACCCCACAUACUUGGCAGGUAGUUGCUAAAAUAUCACAAGACUGAGGAUCCAGCCGUCAUUACUAAUAUUUACUAUGUUGAGCUGAAAUGGAGAGGUAUUUGUCCCGGGUUGAGGCCGAAGCUCUUUCUUCUGCCUUCAGAGGAGGCACUUUGCUGCAAAGAUGAAGAGCAUAGGCCUGGGGGCUUCCACGGUGCCCUGAGUUCUAGCUCCAUCACCAGCCAAAGGCUGCCUCCUCUGGAAGACUUUCCCAGCCCUCUUUAGACAGUGGAAGUCACUCCUCAAAUGCUCCACCAUUCCAUUGCAGAGUAAUUGCAACUUAAAGAAUAGCCAACAUUAAUAAGACUAUUUUGCUUUAUAUGCAGUAACAUGUUUACUCCUUACAACAUGAGUUACAAGAUAAUAGAUCUCUACUGUUAUCUUUUACAGGUGAGGCCUCUGAGACACAGAGAAACUAAGUAACUCACCCAAGGUGGUGUAUUUAUGACUGUGUGGCAUUGUUGAAACCAUGGACAAUGUACUACUGGAGCAGACACCUUCAGAUGUGGCUUAUUAGAGAAGAUGUGCAUAUGCAACAAGGAAUAAAAAUGAUGCAACUUUCUCUUA